RNAcentral lists this ribosomal RNA (1372 nucleotides) under Klebsiella pneumoniae. Its description in RNAcentral is "bacterial SSU rRNA". It matches the Rfam family "Bacterial small subunit ribosomal RNA", at positions 8 to 1372 of the family's 1533-position model. The record is from RNAcentral. Lineage: Bacteria; Pseudomonadati; Pseudomonadota; Gammaproteobacteria; Enterobacterales; Enterobacteriaceae.
AGAGUUUGAUCAUGGCUCAGAUUGAACGCUGGCGGCAGGCCUAACACAUGCAAGUCGAGCGGUAGCACAGAGAGCUUGCUCUCGGGUGACGAGCGGCGGACGGGUGAGUAAUGUCUGGGAAACUGCCUGAUGGAGGGGGAUAACUACUGGAAACGGUAGCUAAUACCGCAUAAUGUCGCAAGACCAAAGUGGGGGACCUUCGGGCCUCAUGCCAUCAGAUGUGCCCAGAUGGGAUUAGCUAGUAGGUGGGGUAACGGCUCACCUAGGCGACGAUCCCUAGCUGGUCUGAGAGGAUGACCAGCCACACUGGAACUGAGACACGGUCCAGACUCCUACGGGAGGCAGCAGUGGGGAAUAUUGCACAAUGGGCGCAAGCCUGAUGCAGCCAUGCCGCGUGUGUGAAGAAGGCCUUCGGGUUGUAAAGCACUUUCAGCGGGGAGGAAGGCGGUGAGGUUAAUAACCUCAUCGAUUGACGUUACCCGCAGAAGAAGCACCGGCUAACUCCGUGCCAGCAGCCGCGGUAAUACGGAGGGUGCAAGCGUUAAUCGGAAUUACUGGGCGUAAAGCGCACGCAGGCGGUCUGUCAAGUCGGAUGUGAAAUCCCCGGGCUUAACCUGGGAACUGCAUUCGAAACUGGCAGGCUAGAGUCUUGUAGAGGGGGGUAGAAUUCCAGGUGUAGCGGUGAAAUGCGUAGAGAUCUGGAGGAAUACCGGUGGCGAAGGCGGCCCCCUGGACAAAGACUGACGCUCAGGUGCGAAAGCGUGGGGAGCAAACAGGAUUAGAUACCCUGGUAGUCCACGCCGUAAACGAUGUCGAUUUGGAGGUUGUGCCCUUGAGGCGUGGCUUCCGGAGCUAACGCGUUAAAUCGACCGCCUGGGGAGUACGGCCGCAAGGUUAAAACUCAAAUGAAUUGACGGGGGCCCGCACAAGCGGUGGAGCAUGUGGUUUAAUUCGAUGCAACGCGAAGAACCUUACCUGGUCUUGACAUCCACAGAACUUUCCAGAGAUGGAUUGGUGCCUUCGGGAACUGUGAGACAGGUGCUGCAUGGCUGUCGUCAGCUCGUGUUGUGAAAUGUUGGGUUAAGUCCCGCAACGAGCGCAACCCUUAUCCUUUGUUGCCAGCGGUUCGGCCGGGAACUCAAAGGAGACUGCCAGUGAUAAACUGGAGGAAGGUGGGGAUGACGUCAAGUCAUCAUGGCCCUUACGACCAGGGCUACACACGUGCUACAAUGGCAUAUACAAAGAGAAGCGACCUCGCGAGAGCAAGCGGACCUCAUAAAGUAUGUCGUAGUCCGGAUUGGAGUCUGCAACUCGACUCCAUGAAGUCGGAAUCGCUAGUAAUCGUAGAUCAGAAUGCUACGGUGAAUACGUU